Molecule: ribosomal RNA, 482 nt
Filed under: uncultured bacterium
Lineage: Bacteria
Description: partial 16S ribosomal RNA
Rfam family: Bacterial small subunit ribosomal RNA
Source: RNAcentral
GACGAACGCUGGCGGCGUGCCUAACACAUGCAAGUCGAACGGAACUGUUUUGAAAGAUUUCUUCGGAAUGAAUUUGAUUUAGUUUAGUGGCGGACGGGUGAGUAACGCGUGAGUAACCUGCCUUCAAGAGGGGAAUAACAUUCUGAAAAGAAUGCUAAUACCGCAUGACAUAUCGGAACCACAUGGUUUUGAUAUCAAAGAUUUUAUCGCUUGAAGAUGGACUCGCGUCCGAUUAGUUAGUUGGUGAGGUAACGGCUCACCAAGACCGCGAUCGGUAGCCGGACUGAGAGGUUGAACGGCCACAUUGGGACUGAGACACGGCCCAGACUCCUACGGGAGACAGCAGUGGGGGAGAUUGCGCAAUGGGGGCAACCCUGACGCAGCAACGCCGCGUGAAGGAUGAAGGUUUUCGGAUUGUAAACUUCUUUUAUUAAGGACGAAAAAUGACGGUACUUAAUGAAUAAGCUCCGGCUAACUACGUG